RNAcentral lists this ribosomal RNA (370 nucleotides) under Linnemannia elongata. Its description in RNAcentral is "LSU rRNA". The record is from RNAcentral. Lineage: Eukaryota; Fungi; Mortierellomycota; Mortierellomycetes; Mortierellales; Mortierellaceae.
AAACGCUUGAAACCAGUCAUGCGGCUGGGAAAUCAGUCUCUGACGAGGGGGAAUGGGAGAGGUGUGGACCGCAAGGCUGCUCUUUUUCAUAUCUUUUUCGGCAGGGAUGCACUUUUUCUUCCGCAGGUCAACAUCAGUUUGCUUUGCCGGACAAAACUCUUGGGAAGGUGACAGCUUAGGCUGUGUUAUAGCCCUGGAGCGAUACGGUGGAGCGGACUGAGGUUUUCGCAGCAUGUGCUCUCGGGCAAGGCUGAUUGGGUGCUAUGAGAUCGUUCAGGGUACAAUACAUGUAUUUUGCCUUGUGUCUUUUUUAUACUCGCUCAACUCGGCUCUUCCAUGCUUAGGAUGUUGACAUAAUGGUUUUAAUCGA